GGCGGCAGGCUUAACACAUGCAAGUCGAACGGUUGUAGCAAUACAGCAGUGGCAGACGGGUGAGUAACACGUGGGAACCUUCCUAGGGGUACGGAACAACUCAGGGAAACUUGAGCUAAUACCGUAUACGUCCGUGAGGAGAAAGAUUUAUCGCCCUUAGACGGGCCCGCGUCGGAUUAGCUAGUUGGUGGGGUAACGGCCUACCAAGGCGACGAUCCGUAGCUGAUCUUAGAGGAUGAUCAGCCACACUGGGACUGAGACACGGCCCAGACUCCUACGGGAGGCAGCAGUGGGGAAUCUUGGACAAUGGCGCAAGCCUGAUCCAGCCAUGCCGCGUGAGUGAAGAAGGUCUUCGGAUUGUAAAGCUCUUUUGCCAGGGACGAUAAUGACGGUACCUGGAGAAUAAGCCCCGGCAAACUUCGUG
This 424-nucleotide ribosomal RNA is filed under the name uncultured bacterium. Its description in RNAcentral is "bacterial SSU rRNA". It matches the Rfam family "Bacterial small subunit ribosomal RNA", at positions 38 to 507 of the family's 1533-position model. The record is from RNAcentral.